Long non-coding RNA from Beta vulgaris subsp. vulgaris (sugar beet), 1217 nucleotides. RefSeq lists it as uncharacterized. The transcript is spliced from 2 exons. The record is from RefSeq and is a predicted model, not a curated record. Lineage: Eukaryota; Viridiplantae; Streptophyta; Magnoliopsida; Caryophyllales; Amaranthaceae.
GUUCUUACCUUACUUUAUUUUUCUAAAUAUUAUACUGCAGUUUUUUCUUAUUUAAAGAGCUGAAUUACUCAAUAAAUAAACUACUAUUGCAGCAGAUAUUGAACUGAUCAGUUGGGUGAUAUUGAACUGAAACUGAAUGGCUAUUGCACUAGUAAUGCACUGCUAUUGAGCAGAUGUGUAUUGAAUACUCAUUGACCUGACAGUGAAUUGGUGUUUAACUGGUAUAUGAAUUGAUGUUUAGCUUCUAAUGAUUUGCUAUUGAAUUGAUAUUAAACUGAUAAUGAAUUGACAUUGAAGUGAGUGGUUAUUCAUGUGAUUAUGAAUUGGUUUAUUAUGUGGGAUUUGGGUUGGAUCGAUUCUAGGUUUGAAGUGAAUUGAUGGAUUUAUAAAUUUCGUUUUUUCUAGGAAUUUAGGAUUCAAUUAUUUCGAUUUUCUGGGUUUAUUAUGCUCUGUUUCAAGACCGUUCUAAUGAAGAUAUAAUUGAGGCAAUCAGGAGAAUCCGCAUAUACAACGCUAGUGCUCUUGCUGCAGAAAACCGGAAGAAAAUACAAGUAUGAAAAUUUUGGAAAUUUUCAUUCUAGCCGUUUAGCUUGUUGUGUCUACUUCUAUUAGCUUGUUGUGUCUACUUCUAUAAUGAAUAUUUGCAGUAUUUGAAAUUAUGAAUAAUGGUCAUGAAAAUAUAGUGCAGUAAUUUUGUUGAUUCUUGAUUUAUUGUGAGUUUUUGUCUAUAUGGGUUGCUUCAGCUGCUUCUUAGGAAGCUCACAUAUGGUGGUGCUGUUUCUUUUCAGGUUUGCUAUGAUCUUCUUCUGCAGUACUUUGCUACUUUAACGAAUCAAAAACCAUUGAAUUUUCAUUUAUUGAACUUGCUUUUUAAGCCACUGAUGGAGAUGAGUGCAGAGAUUCCAUAUUUUUCAGCGAUUUGUGCUCGUGAACGAAUUUUAAGGACUCGUACAAAAUUCUCUGAGGAUAUCAAGGACCCAGGUGAUUGCGGAAUCCAACUAUUCAAACAAUUGAAGAAUAAUAUGAGGAAGAAAAUAGCAUGACACUAACAAAGAAUGAGGCAAUUGAAAAAUGGAAUGACACUAUUCAAACUAUUAGAUAUUUUUUUUUUCUCUCUUGUAGUUUCCAAUUUCUUUUUACUGUAACAAUUGUGAACAACCAACGAGACAUGUUAGUUGAUUAAGGUGUUUAUAUAAAUGACAAUUAUUUUUUAUCUA